This 460-nucleotide ribosomal RNA is filed under the name uncultured bacterium. RNAcentral's name for it is "partial 16S ribosomal RNA". It matches the Rfam family "Bacterial small subunit ribosomal RNA", at positions 338 to 795 of the family's 1533-position model. The record is from RNAcentral.
CCUACGGGUGGCAGCAGUGAGGAAUAUUGGUCAAUGGACGAGAGUCUGAACCAGCCAAGUAGCGUGAAGGAUGACUGCCCUAUGGGUUGUAAACUUCUUUUAUAUGGGAAUAAAACGUUCCACGUGUGGGAUUUUGUAUGUACCAUAUGAAUAAGGAUCGGCUAACUCCGUGCCAGCAGCCGCGGUAAUACGGAGGAUCCGAGCGUUAUCCGGAUUUAUUGGGUUUAAAGGGAGCGUAGGUGGAUUGUUAAGUCAGUUGUGAAAGUUUGCGGCUCAACCGUAAAAUUGCAGUUGAAACUGGCAGUCUUGAGUACAGUAGAGGUGGGCGGAAUUCGUGGUGUAGCGGUGAAAUGCUUAGAUAUCACGAAUAACUCCGAUUGCGAAGGCAGUUCACUGGACUGCAACUGACACUGAGGCUCGAAAGUGUGGGUAUCAAACAGGAUUAGAUACCCUUGUAGUC